This 111-nucleotide non-coding RNA is filed under the name Adlercreutzia caecimuris. Its description in RNAcentral is "Enterorhabdus caecimuris Azaaromatic sequence". It matches the Rfam family "azaaromatic riboswitch aptamer (yjdF RNA)". RNAcentral also lists the same sequence under 1 other name. The record is from RNAcentral. Lineage: Bacteria; Bacillati; Actinomycetota; Coriobacteriia; Eggerthellales; Eggerthellaceae.
UCCCCCGAAGGUAAAAACACGGCCCCGUCGGGUAGUCGGGGUGCGGCCGCCCUCCUGCGUCGUGCCGUCAGUAACCUGCCUCCUUGGUUGUCCCUCCUUCAGGUUCGUCAU